GGAAGACCUAAAAAUAGUGGCAAAAAGCCAACCGAGCUUGGUGAUAGCUGGUUACUCAACAAAUGAACCUUAGUUCAACUUUAGGUGCCCAUGGGCCAACUACUUUAACCCACCACCCUUUAACCUAAAGAAAUUCAAUGGGGGUACAGCCCCAUUGAACCGGAAUACAACCCGAAUUGAGAGACACCUACUAAACUUUAACCCUAACAGUAGGCCCCAAAGCAGCCACCAACUAAACGCGUUACAGCUACAACAAAACAAUUUUUACAAUAAUAUACACCUCCUAGUAUACCACGAGUUAUUCUAUUUUUUAAUAGAAACACCAAUGCUAAAAUUAGUAAUAAGAAACCCUAAUUUCUCUCCGCACCCCCUUAAAUCAGAAUAGAAAAACUACUGAUAAUUAACACAACACGACCUACAACAACUAGCUAACAUGUCAACUAAAAUCUGUUACCCCAACACAGGAGUGCAAAAAAGAAAGGCAAAAAGCCAUAAAAGGAACUCGGCAAACCCCACCGUCCCAACUGUUUACCAAAAACAUAGCCUUUAGCUCAACAAGUAUUAAAGGUCCCGCCUGCCCAGUGACUCUUUAAACGGCCGCGGUAUCCUAACCGUGCAAAGGUA
This 624-nucleotide ribosomal RNA is filed under the name Anatololacerta sp. CI-2014a. Its description in RNAcentral is "partial 16S ribosomal RNA". RNAcentral also lists the same sequence under 1 other name. Lineage: Eukaryota; Metazoa; Chordata; Lepidosauria; Squamata; Lacertidae. The record is from RNAcentral.